GGUCGGGGCCACGUGGGCAGGAUGGGGUUAAAAGAAGCCCCGCUCCCUGCAGGGGCCCAUUGCUCCCUGGCCACCAGCACCCUGUAGAGCACCCACCCGCAGCACCGGCACCCAGCAUGGGCCACCUGCGCCCCAACCCGGUAAUGUACGGAGGGACCCAGCCAGCGGCAUGGCACCCACGUGGUGCUCGAGGAGCAGUGGGGGCAUGGAGAGGUCCUGGGGCCAUGGCCCCCACCUGCUGCCAGGGGGACAGUGGGUGCUGGGGGCCACCCCAUGGGUAAGAGGGUCCCCCCCAGGGAGGAGGUGCUGCAGUGGUGGGCGGGAGGAUAUGGGAAGAGCCUGAAGCAGAAGUGCCACCAAGGAGAUUUCAGUUCCAGCCGGACAGGAGGCAGAGGAUGCAGAGGCUGGUGGGGCAGGGAUGAGGUGAGGAUGUCCCUUGUGCCUGGCAUGGUUCCCCAGGGCAGGAUGUGAUGCCAGCAGGAGCUCCCUGUCCCCAGGGCAAAGCCAGCCCUGCCGUUCGUGCCCCCGGCCAUGCUGACACAGAAGCAUCCCCACGGCCAGGCACGCGGGGUGCAGGCGGAGGAGGCCACGUCGCUGGAGGAGAGCAUCGCCGACACCGACUGAGAGACAGUGCAGUCACCCAUAAAGUAGAAAGCACUACUAAACAGCACUGCAGGGUGUAGUGUUUCCUACUUUAUGGAUGAGUGUACUGUGGGCUACGGAGAAGAGAGCACUGCCAGCCACCUGCGGGCCGGCCAUCAGCUGUGCACGGCUGGGGAGCCAAGGACAGGCUGGCGCCAGCACCACCACCGUCCCUGCUGCCACCAGGCCAGCACACCUGGGACAUGGGGCUGAGGGGCCAGGUAGGUAGCAAAGCCUGCGAUUCAUGCUUUUCUGCCCCAUCUUCAGGUCAUGGAUGGCAAAGUCCUGUGGGGAACUGGGUGGUGGUGGCCAUGUGUGGGUGGGGAGAGGCAGGGGGGCUGGCAAAUAGCUUUGCAUGGCUGCACAAUGGCAGGAUGCUGCUAAAUAAAACUCUUUCAGUGUUGA
Molecule: non-coding RNA, 1047 nt
Organism: Anas platyrhynchos (mallard)
Lineage: Eukaryota; Metazoa; Chordata; Aves; Anseriformes; Anatidae
Source: RefSeq, a predicted model, not a curated record